AGGAAAGAAAAAGGUUGAUCAAUCAUUUCUUACACUAGAAGAAAAUUUAGGGAAAAUGAAAGAUGAGUUGUACAACAAAGAUGAAUUGAUUAAAGUAAUAACAGAAGACUUAGGAAAGGUAAAACAUGAACUAGAAAUAACAUGCACAUGGAACAAGGCUUCUGAUGCACUCUCUUGGCUGCAAGAACAUCAUAGCAGCAGUAAGAGAGGAGUUGGAUUUGUGACACAAGCUCCAAAAUGGAAUCCCAAAAACAAGUACCUCACAUUUCCUGAGAAUAAGAUCUGCACACACUGUGGUAAGAUUGGCCAUUAUAAAAAUGAAUAUAAUAUUAAAGAAAAGGCCAGUCAAAAGAACAAAGUUUGUUCAAGAAAAGCACAAUCUGCCUGGUUGGGAAAAAAAAAUCUAAUUCAUCCUUUUGCUCAUAGAAAGGGACCCAAACUAGUUUGGUUCCUAAGACUAACCCAUGAUUUCUUUUUGCAAGUUCAAGUGAAGGGGAGUAGCCAAAUAUGGUACAUGGAUAAUGGCUGCUCAAAACAUAUGACUGGUAACAAGGACCAGUUCCUUUAACUUGAGAACCUAAAAAGAGGUAAUAUCUUUUUGAAAAUGGAAAGAAAGUUGAGAUCAUAGGAGUUGGAAAGGUAGGAAAGAUAGACUCUCAUUCCAUUGAGAAUGUCUAGUUGAUAGAUGGCUUGAAAUAUAGCCUGAUAAGUGUGUCACAACUGUGUGACAGAGGUAACCUUGUGGCUUUCACUUCCAUAAACUAUUUUGUGAUUAGCCUUACUACCGACAAGAUUGUUUUGCAGGGAAGAAGAGUUAACAAUAUUUACAUAGUAGAUUUGUUGUCUCUUUCUGAAAAUAAACUCACUUACUUGACUGUGUUAAUUAAUGAUCCCAUUCUUUGGCACAAAAAACUUGGUCAUGCUAGUCUAAAUCAAUUAAACAAAUUAGUUUCCAAGGACUUGGUGAUAGGGUCACCUAAUAUCAAGUUCAAGGAAGACAAAGUUUGUGAGGCAUGUGCAAGGGGGAAGCAGCUAAGUUCAUCCUUCAAAACUAAGAAAAUGGUAAGUAUGUCUAAGACGUUGAAACUGGUUCAAAUGGAUCUUUGUGGUCCAAAGAGAGCCAUGAGCAGAGGUGGUAAAAGAUAUCUUAUGGUGCUUGUUGAUGAUUAUUCUAGAUUUACUUGGGUGUUGUUUCUAACCUCUAAAGAUGAAGCAUUUGAAAUGUUUACUACUUUUGUUAGAAAAACCCAGAAACAAUUAGGAAAUUAACUUACAUCCAUUAGGUCUGAUCAUGGAACUGAAUUUGAAAAUGCAAAGUUUGCUGAAUUUUGUGAUGAAAAUGGAAAGAUCAUAAUUUUUAUGCCCGUAGAACUCCCCAGCAAAAUAGGGUAGUUGAGAGGAAGAAUAGGAUCCUUGAGGAUAUGGAAAGGACCAUGUUACUUUCCAGUAAACUACCUCAUAGCUUUUGGGUAGAGGCUAUAAACACUGCUUGCUAUAUAAGUAAAUUGAAUGAAGAAAGAAAAGGCGGACAGAAGGAACAUGUUCAACCAAGAAGGAACAAAGGAACAACCAAAGCUAUGGUUGCUGCAAUGGGAGACACGUCAAAUGAAUAUUCAGAAAAUGAAGCUGAAGAUGAGCAUGAGUUACUUAAAAGGAGAAAACCAAACAUAUCUCAUCUUAGGGCUUUUGGUUGCAAGUGUUAUGUGCACAAUAAUGGCAAAGACUCCCUAGGUAAGUGUGAUCCCAAAAGUGAUGAGGGAGUCUUCUUGGGAUAAUCUUCACAUAGGAAAGUAUAUAAAGUGUUUAAUAAAAGAACUCUAUGUGUUGAACAAAGUGUACAUGUUGAGUUUGAGAAAUCUAACACUCUUUCUAAGAGACAGGAACAUGAAGAUGAAGCCAUUGGACUGGUGAGACAAUUGACGACUUAAGUCACAGUAUAAGUUAAGGAGGCAUCCAAGGAAGGACCAGGUGAUGGAACAUGUCCUUUCACCCAUGGCAACUUGACAUGGGGAACAAAUCUGAGAGAAAUUGUACAAAAUUCUCUGAAGGAUCCUGUACCUGAACCUGUUCCUCUGCACCAUAGCAAUGAAGGAGAAGCUAGCAGAAACCAACUGGUGGGAAAAUCUUACAAGUACCUGAGUUCUCACCCCAUUGAGAACAUAAUCAAUGAUCCUACAUCUGGAGUCAAGGCUAGAUCACAACUGAGGAACCUGUGUGCAUUUGAUGCCUUUUUGUCCCUGAUUGAACCUAAAAAUGCGAGUGAAGCUCUACAAGAUGCGGAUUGGAUCAAUGAUAUGCAAGAUGAGCUCAAUCAGUUUGAAAGAAGCCAAGUCUGACACUUGGUUCCAAGACCUAAAGAGUGUCACAACUCCUUUUUUCACUAUACACCCCCGCAAAAGGGCGUAAAGGAGUUUUUUCAAUUAAAGGACAAUCGAAACGGGAUUUAUUUAUUAUUUAUUCAGAGUCGCCACUUGGGAGAUUAAUGGUGUCCCAAGUCACCGGUUGAAUCCGAACCGAGGAAAAAAAUGACUCUGUUCACAGUCUACGAACCAGAAAUCUGGAUAAGGGACUUUGUUAACCCGGGAGAAGGUGUUAGGCAUUCCCGUGUUCCUUGGUUCUAGUACGGUCGCUCAACUGUCAUAUUUAGCUUAUUUAUCCGAUUUUAUUAUAUGAAGAACCUAUGUGCCAAUUUUACUUUUUACCGCUUUUAUUUAAUAUAUAUUUAUUUGAGAAAGUGAACAUCGUUUAAAGUUUCUUUCGGAUUGCGCCGCCGAAUCCCGCAAUCCUAGGCAAACUCUAUCCAACAUUUUAGAACUUGGAUUUAGGCUGCAUAAAAUGCCCACCCGUAUUUAGGAAUGUAAUUUAUUAAAGCCGCGCCUAAUAGAGUCUAGCGCGUUCUAAUCUUUUGGGAGGAUUAUAUAUAUAUACAUAUAUAUAUAUGAGAAAGUGAACGUUGUUUAAAUUGUGCUUUCGGAUUGCGCCGCAUCAAAUGAACCCGCAAUCCUAGGCACGCUCUAUUCAACGUUUUAGGAUUUAGAUUUGGGCAGCAUAAAAUGCCCAUCCAUAUUUAGGAAUGUAAUUUAUUAUAGUCGCGCCUAAAAGAGUCUAGCACAUUAUUAUCUUUUGGGAGGGUCGUGAAAUUCACUAAACGACCCUUCCCGAUUUUCUAAAUAUUUUUAAACGUUUAUUUAGGGCCCCGCAAUUUGUAUUUUUGUUAGGCGUGGCUCAUCUCAUUUUAUUUUAAUAGGAUAAACCUAAAAGAUAGCUAUUUUUUUCUACCUUUGAUUUUAGUUUCUCUAAAAGAAAAGAAAAAUUCCUAAUUGAUUAUUAUUGGAGCUCGGGCUUUGAGCUCAAGUUCGGGCCCAAACAAAAGGACGACCCUUUUAGUUUAAAACUCACUACCUAACUCAAAACCCAAACUUACUAAAAAAAAAACUAACAAAUCAGUACUCAUCUAAUCCCGGGUCCGACCAACUCAAAUCAAGCGACAUGCAAAGUAAAACCAAAUUCUCAGUAAUAUUUGGCCCAAGCCCGAUUUCCAGAUACAUGUUAUGGGACUGGGCCUUCAGCUCACGUAACACAACCCAAAGGUUCUUGGGGAUCUGAUUCCCAAGAAGAAUAACGAUUGCUUGAAUAGACCCUCACAACUACAAUUUGACUCUGUUAGCUCUUUAAACCUGACUAGCAACUAGUAAUUAAGGAGAAAUGGCACUCACUUAGAUUAAUGAGACCAUAAUCUAACCAUUACAACACACACAUUAUACAUUUAGGCUAAUUAGCGCCACUCAAAUGGCCAGCCCAAAACUGUCCCUUAAAGCUAUUUCUAAUUAUGGACUGAACAUGAAAACAAUUCCCAAAGCUCCUAUCACGUUUCUGGGUCACUUGCUAACCAGGUUUUGAAACAAUCGAACUACUGGUAUUUCAAUUACCCAAACAACAGACUUGCACAUAUCUCCAGUUUCAUGAAUACAUACCUAGCUUAACACAAUCCAUUACAAAUUAAGAGUUAAACCCAAUCUAAAUUACAUAUUGUUCCAGUCCAGUACAAACAAGCUAAAAUUCAUCCAAACCAAGUCCUAAAUUAACUACAGUAAAAUAAAUAGACAACAAGUAAAAGAAACUUCAGCAAGCACCAGGUAUCAAUUGCAUUGUCACUUCACAGGAGAAAUUACAUCAGAGUAAGCUCAAGCGUGUACCUGGAAUUGAAUCACAAUAAGAGGAGAGAUCAGCAGCAGUCACAGUUAAUCACAAACAGCCCAUAAGUGAAAUCCGAAAUCCAGAAGUGUUUAAAUUGAACAAAAUUAAUAGAUUCACUCCAAACAACAUCGAAAUACCCCCAGAAAUGCGCACACAGAUGAACAAACGCCAACAAGGACACCCAAACUUCACUCAAUCAAACAAUUCCAACUCGAAGUCACUCAACACAACUCGAACCCAUCCAAGACUGAUCUAAUUAGAAUCCAGAAUCUUUCUGAAUUCUCAAAUAUCAAGAAACGAACCUCAGAAAUGUGAAUCGGCUAUCAAAACUAACAUUCAGCUAAGAAGCAGUAUAAACUUCACUUGAAAUCAUUCUAAACUAAGAAAAUGAAAUCCAAACACUUCAGAAGCUUGAAAUAUUCAUGAAAUCCUAAUGGAACAGUAUUUUUUUUGGUUUUCUGAAGUUUUAUAUUCCCAUUUUUUGUUUUCUUUCUAUGAAAGAUGAAAUCUAAAGGAAUUUGGACCUAAAAAGUUAAUUUGCAGGUGUUGGAGCCUGAGGAGUGUUUUUGGGGAAUUUUUAGAGGUCCCAAACUUGUAUGUUAAGGC
Molecule: long non-coding RNA, 4803 nt
Filed under: Nicotiana benthamiana
Lineage: Eukaryota; Viridiplantae; Streptophyta; Magnoliopsida; Solanales; Solanaceae
Description: long non-coding RNA (NBEN_LNC004786)
Source: RNAcentral